AACGAACGCUGGCGGCAUGCCUAACACAUGCAAGUCGAACGAAACCUUCGGGUCUAGUGGCGUACGGUUUCGUCACGCGUGGGAACCUGCCCUUAGGGUCGGAAUAACUCCCCGAAAGGGGUGCUAAUACCGGAUAAUGUCUUCUGACCAAAGAUUUCUCGCCUUUGUAUGGGCCCGCGUUGGAUUAGCUAGUUGUUAGGGUAAUAGCCUACCAAGGCGACGAUCCCUACAUUGUAACGGAGGAGGAUUAGCCACACUGAGACUGAGCCGCGGCCCAGACUCCUACGGGAGGCAGCAGUGGGGAAUAUUGGACAGCCGGCGAAGGCAUGAUCCAGUUCUGACGCGUGAGUGCUGAAGGCCUUAGGGUUGUAAAGUUCUUUUAACUGGGAUGAUCAUGACGGUACCGAGACAAUAAGCUCCGGCUAACUCCGUG
RNAcentral lists this ribosomal RNA (433 nucleotides) under uncultured bacterium. RNAcentral describes it as "partial 16S ribosomal RNA". It matches the Rfam family "Bacterial small subunit ribosomal RNA", at positions 29 to 507 of the family's 1533-position model. The record is from RNAcentral.